UCGUAAGAAAAAAAAUAAUUGGGAAAGACGAAUAAAUCUUCUUUUAUUGAACGUGUUUGUUCACUUUGACAAGUUUCUCAUACGAUGAUAUUUUAUCAUACUAAUUUUAUCCUUGGGAGUGGAAUAAUAGCUGGAAAUGGCUGUUAAUAACUCGUAGGCUGAGCAGCAAAAGGAGGAAUCCUCCGGAGGAGAGGCUCACGUCUAAUUUGCUAGUUGGUGAGGCAAUAGCUUACCAAGGUGAUGAUCAGUAGCUGGUUUAAGAAGAUGAUCACCCACACUGGGACAGAGACAUGGCUUAGACUCCUACGGGAGGCAGCAGUGGGAAAUUUUCCACAAUGGAUGAAAGCCUGACAGAGCAAUGCCACAUGUAGGUAGAAAGGCCUACCGUCAUGAACUUCUUUUCUUGGAGAAGAAACAAUGAUGGUAUAUAGGGAAUAAGCAUCAGCUAACUCUGUGCCAGCAGCUAUGGUAAUACAGAGAAUGCAAGUGUUAGGUCCACCGUCAAAUCCCAGGGCUCAACCCUGGAUAGGUGGUGGAAACUACCAAGUUGGAGUAUGGUAGGGGCACAGGGAAUUUUUGGUGGAGCGGUGAAAUGCGUAGAGAUUGGAAAGAACACCAACAGCAAAAGCAUUUUGAUGGGCCGACACUGACACUGAGAGGUGAAAGCUAGGGGAGCGAAUGGGACUAGAUACCCUAGUAGUCCUAGCCGUAAAUGAUGGAUGCUAGGUGUUAUGCAUAUCGAUCCGUGCAGUGCUAUAGCUAAUGCAUUAAGUGUCCCACCUGGGGAGUACAUUCACAAGAAUGAAACUCAAAAGAAUUGAUGGGGGCCCGCAUAAGCGGUGGAGCAUGUGGUUUAAUUUGAUGCAAAGCGAAGAACCUUACCAGGGCUUGACAUGCCACGAAUCCUCUUUAAAGAGAGGGGUGCCUUUGGGAACGCAGGCACAGGUGGUGCAUGGCUAUCAUUAGCUUAUGUCGUAAAGUGUUGGGUUAAGUCCGGCAACGAGUGCAACCCUUGUGUUUAGUUGCCACCGUUGAGUUUGGAACCCUGAGCAGAUUGCCGAUGAUAAGCCAAAGGAAGGUGAGGAUGACAUCAAGUCAUCAUGCCCCUUAUGCCCUGGCCGACACAUGUGUUACAAUGGCUGGGACAAAGGGUCACAAUCCUGCGAGGGUGAACUAACUAAAAAAACCCAUCCUUAGUUCGAAUUGUAGGCUGCGACUUGCCUACACGAAGCCGGAAUCACUAGUAAUUGCCGGUCAGCCAUACGGUGAUGAAUUCCUUCUCAGGCCUUGUACACACCACCCAUCGCACUAUGGGAGCUGGCCAUGCCUGAAUUCAUUACCUUAAGCACAAAAAGGGGGAUGGCGAAGGCAGGGCUAAUGACUGGAGUGAAGUUAUAACAAGGUAGCCGUACUGGAAAGUGCGGCAG
RNAcentral lists this ribosomal RNA (1427 nucleotides) under Ziziphus jujuba (common jujube). RNAcentral's name for it is "bacterial SSU rRNA". It matches the Rfam family "Bacterial small subunit ribosomal RNA". Lineage: Eukaryota; Viridiplantae; Streptophyta; Magnoliopsida; Rosales; Rhamnaceae. The record is from RNAcentral.